Molecule: ribosomal RNA, 292 nt
Filed under: uncultured Acidobacteriota bacterium
Lineage: Bacteria; Pseudomonadati; Acidobacteriota
Description: uncultured Acidobacteria bacterium partial 16S ribosomal RNA
Source: RNAcentral
GGACUACAAGGGUUUCUAAUCCUGUUUGCUCCCCUAGCUUUCGUUCCUCAGCGUCAGUUGCGAUCCAGUCAGCCGCCUUCGCCACGGGUGUUCCUGCAGAUAUCUACGCAUUUCACCGCUACACCUGCAAUUCCACUGACCUCUCUCGCACUCGAGCACGGCAGUUUUGAAAGCAGCCUCUGGGUUAAGCCCAGAGAUUUCACUCCCAACUUGCCGCACCGCCUACGAACCCUUUACGCCCAGUAAUUCCGAGCAACGCUGGCCCCCUACGUAUUACCGCGGCUGCUGGCAC